This 224-nucleotide ribosomal RNA is filed under the name uncultured bacterium. Its description in RNAcentral is "partial 16S ribosomal RNA". It matches the Rfam family "Bacterial small subunit ribosomal RNA", at positions 15 to 219 of the family's 1533-position model. The record is from RNAcentral.
GAUCAUGGCUCAGGAUGAACGCUGGCGGCGUGCCUAACACAUGCAAGUCGAGCGAAGCACUUUGCUUAGAUUCUUCGGAUGAAGAGGAUUGUGACUGAGCGGCGGACGGGUGAGUAACGCGUGGGUAACCUGCCUCAUACAGGGGGAUAACAGUUAGAAAUGACUGCUAAUACCGCAUAAGACCACAGCACCGCAUGGUGCGGGGGUAAAAACGUACCGUCGGU